UACGGAGGGUGCAAGCGUUAUCCGGAUUCACUGGGUUUAAAGGGUGCGUAGGUGGGCAGUUAAGUCAGUGGUGAAAAUCUCCGGGCUUAACCCGGAAACUGCCCAUUGAUACUAUCUGUCUUGAAUGUCGUGGAGGUAAGCGGAAUAUGUCAUGUAGCGGUGAAAAUGCUUAGAUAUGACAUAGAACACCAAUUUGCGAAGGCAGCUUACUACACGGAUAUUGACACUGAGGCACGAAAAGCGUGGGGGAUCAAAACAGGA
This 261-nucleotide ribosomal RNA is filed under the name uncultured bacterium. Its description in RNAcentral is "partial 16S ribosomal RNA". It matches the Rfam family "Bacterial small subunit ribosomal RNA", at positions 524 to 777 of the family's 1533-position model. The record is from RNAcentral.